GAGUAUACAGAUAAGUUCCUGGAAUUAUUACCAUACGUGGGUCAGGCGUAUGAUACGGAUCAGAAGAAGGCAAAGAGAUACGCCACGAGGCUUCAUCCCAGGUAUUUCUCCUUGAUUCUCCACGCGGAGAAGGAGAAUUUCCACUCCAUUGUGGAUGCUGCUAGAAAGAUGGAGGCCAGUGCCAUAAGUCAGGGAGUAGUCAAGCAACCAAAGGCACAGUUUUCUGGUGCUAAACCAGGUUCCUCCUC
RNAcentral lists this long non-coding RNA (248 nucleotides) under Manihot esculenta (cassava). Its description in RNAcentral is "long non-coding RNA (MESC_LNC007309)". Lineage: Eukaryota; Viridiplantae; Streptophyta; Magnoliopsida; Malpighiales; Euphorbiaceae. The record is from RNAcentral.